This 473-nucleotide ribosomal RNA is filed under the name uncultured bacterium. RNAcentral's name for it is "bacterial SSU rRNA". It matches the Rfam family "Bacterial small subunit ribosomal RNA", at positions 328 to 793 of the family's 1533-position model. The record is from RNAcentral.
GUGAUGUACUCCUACGGGAGGCAGCAGUGGGGAAUAUUGCACAAUGGGCGCAAGCCUGAUGCAGCCAUGCCGCGUGUGUGAAGAAGGCCUUCGGGUGUAAAGCACUUUCAGUCGUGAGGAAGGUGGUAGUGUUAAUAGCACUAUCAUUUGACGUUAGCGACAGAAGAAGCACCGGCUAACUCCGUGCCAGCAGCCGCGGUAAUACGGAGGGUGCGAGCGUUAAUCGGAAUUACGUGGGCGUAAAGCGCAUGCAGGUGGUUUGUUAAGUCAGAUGUGAAAGCCCCGGGGCUCAACCUCGGAAUAGCAUUUGAAACUGGCAAACUAGAGUACUGUAGAGGGGGUAGAAUUUCAGGUGUAGCGGUGAAAUGCGUAGAGAUCUGAAGGAAUACCGGUGGCGAAGGCGGCCCCCUGGACAGAUACUGACACUCAGAUGCGAAAGCGUGGGGAGCAAACAGGAUUAGAUACCCUGGUAG